This is a non-coding RNA of Equus caballus (horse), 608 nucleotides long. The record is from RefSeq and is a predicted model, not a curated record. Lineage: Eukaryota; Metazoa; Chordata; Mammalia; Perissodactyla; Equidae.
AGAGGAUUGGUGGCAGAUGUUAGCUCAGGGCUAAUCUUCCUCAAAAAAAAAAAAGAAAGAAAGAAAGAGAAGAAAACCAACCGAGAGAUGGACAGACUUUCCCCAUCCAGCUGCAGGCAGCCAUGAAUGCCACCAGUCCCCCAGGUGAAGGAGUUCAGAACAUGCCACCCCAAAACAUGCUGCUUUGGAAUACUGAUUAUUUUGAGCUGACGGCCCCUGAGGACCAGCAGAUGCAGCAAGGACUCUGCUCUCCUGUUUCUACCUACAAGCAGGUCAUCAAAUUUCCCAUGAGAAAGGACCCUCCUGCCCCGGGAAGAGAGAGUUCUCAUCACCAGAGACUGGGGGGCGGUGACGAAACGGAUCUGUGCAAACAAACCUGCGAAAAUAACCCUUCUCCUCCAUUAGCUUCCUCCGUAUGUUUCCCAGUCACUGUCCCCCCACUUACUGCCCCAGCCAAACCCCUUCGUCUGUCACUUCCCCACAAUGUUUCUUUCUUUGUUGAAAAGGGUAUAUAAGCUUUUAAGCCCAACGGUUUCUUUGAGUCUUCAUUUUUCUUCUGAAGACUCCAGUGUACACGUGAAAAUAUUAAAUAAAUGUGCAUGCCUUUC